UUUUUGACUUCAAUAUCAGCCAUCUCGCUGAUUUCCUUCUUCUUCAAUGCUCUCUUCUUCUUCUUCUUCUUCUCUGGUUUUUCCCUCUUCUUAAUUUUGUUGUUCUUUUCAUUUUGGUUCUUGAAAAACUAUGAGCUUUGUUUCACGAUUCUUUUUCUAUAUGUAUUCUUGGUCCGUCUGAUGUUACAGAUUUCUGAAGUAUUUCAUGAGGAAUAAACGGGUGAAGGUUGCAAGGAAGCUGCUUCAUAGUGAUCUAUGGGCGGCUUAUAUUGAUAGGUGCAACUUGAACAAUUUUGUGUCUCUGGGAGUAAAAUAAGGGAGCUUGCUAUGCCAUGAUCCACGAGUAUGUCAAUCAUCGUGCUUACAUAACUUUUAAAAUUACAAAAUCUCCUUUUCUCUCUCUUUCGCUAUUCUGCUAUUUCCUUUAUGCUUUGCUACUUCAACAGUUGAAUGAGAAGUUCAGGAUGUCAUCUUUCUUUAGGUGAGUGGUUCAAUUCUUCUGGGCUUCUCUGGAUCUAUAUGUUUGAAUUUUCUUCUCUUUUUAUCUUUAUAUUUCGUUCAUGAAUUCUGUUUUUGUUUUCUUCUGAGUUUACUUUAUGCUUGCUACAAUCUUCUAGCAUCUACUGUGUUUGUGAAGUCAGGUAAAUUUUCUUCCAUGUUUCUUUAUUUCUUGCGUUGUGUUCCCACUUCUGGCUUUCACUUUUAGAUUUCUAUGAACUUUUUGUCUAUUUUUUGUUUGAUGUUGGUUUCUCUGUUCUUUUAAAUAAUUUCUUGCAAGAUUUUCUACAUGCAUGUCUGGUAUUUUAUUUGAUUUUUAUAUGCAUGUUUGGAAAGAAAUACCUAGGUGCAUGUCCUUAAUUUCUGAUUUUGGUUUUGUUCUGAGUUUAGCUGUAUUAAUGGGGGUUUUGGUGUAAAAAUUUGUUAUUUAAACGCGAAGAUUGUGUCCUUUAUCUACUGGUUAUUCACUCUUUUUGAGUUUCUCCACUUUUCUUCUAUUUGUAUAUGGUGUGAGAUUUUUGAUUGCAAAGUUACUUGUGCAAGCUGCGUUUUUCUAAAUAAAAGCUGCUAAGAUAAAACUUUCUUUAACUGGGGUAGUGGCGGUUUUUCACGUUACAGCCAACGUCACAUUCAUCGGUGAGUAUUUUGAUUCAAAAUUCACUUAUGUUUGUUUCGUGAUACAUUGAAGUGCUUGAAUUAACCCUAUACAUUUUAUAUGUGGAUGUUCGUUUUCCUGGUCCUAUUCUUUUUGUCAUUCUGAAAGAAAACUGUGUUAGAGUUGUUAACCAAUUCCUAUUGACUUCUGAUUUAAAAUAGAAGCUUCUGACUUUAUAGCUGAAUAUAGUCUAUAGUAGAUUUCUUUAACUGGUUUCUAUAUUCUAAACCAUAUACAUUAUACCUUAUAUAUGUCUCCUCAAGUUCCUAUA
Nicotiana tabacum (common tobacco) is the source of this 1424-nucleotide non-coding RNA. NCBI's taxonomy places the organism in Eukaryota, Viridiplantae, Streptophyta, Magnoliopsida, Solanales, Solanaceae. The record is from RefSeq and is a predicted model, not a curated record.